AGUAAUGUAUGGGGAUCUGCCUGAUGGCGGGGGAUAACUACUGGAAACGGUAGCUAAUACCGCAUAAUGUCUGCGGACCAAAGCGGGGGACCUUCGGGCCUCUUGCCAUCGGAUGUGCCCAGAUGGGAUUAGCUAGUAGGUGGGGUAGCGGCUCACCUAGGCGACGAUCCCUAGCUGGUCUGAGAGGAUGACCAGCCACACUGGAACUGAGACACGGUCCAG
This 222-nucleotide ribosomal RNA is filed under the name uncultured bacterium. Its description in RNAcentral is "partial 16S ribosomal RNA". It matches the Rfam family "Bacterial small subunit ribosomal RNA", at positions 109 to 334 of the family's 1533-position model. The record is from RNAcentral.